This 253-nucleotide ribosomal RNA is filed under the name uncultured bacterium. RNAcentral's name for it is "partial 16S ribosomal RNA". It matches the Rfam family "Bacterial small subunit ribosomal RNA", at positions 524 to 776 of the family's 1533-position model. The record is from RNAcentral.
GACGAGUCUCACGAACGUUAUUCGGAAUUACUGGGCGUAAAGGGCGCGUAGGCGGCCCGCUACGUCGAACGUGAAAUCCCUGGGCUCAACCCAGGAACUGCGUCCGAUACUGGUGGGCUUGAAUCCGGGAGAGGGAUGUGGAAUUCCAGGUGUAGCGGUGAAAUGCGUAGAUAUCUGGAGGAACACCGGUGGCGAAGGCGACAUCCUGGACCGGUAUUGACGCUGAGGCGCGAAAGCCAGGGGAGCAAACGGG